GAUGAACGCUGGCGGCGUGCCUAAUACAUGCAAGUCGAGCGAACGGACGAGAAGCUUGCUUCUCUGAUGUUAGCGGCGGACGGGUGAGUAACACGUGGAUAACCUACCUAUAAGACUGGGAUAACUUCGGGAAACCGGAGCUAAUACCGGAUAAUAUUUUGAACCGCAUGGUUCAAAAGUGAAAGACGGUCUUGCUGUCACUUAUAGAUGGAUCCGCGCUGCAUUAGCUAGUUGGUAAGGUAACGGCUUACCAAGGCAACGAUGCAUAGCCGACCUGAGAGGGUGAACGGCCACACUGGAACCGAGACACGGUCCAGACUCCUACGGGAGGCAGCAGUAGGGAAUCUUCCGCAAUGGGCGAAAGCCUGACGGAGCAACGCCGCGUGAGUGAUGAAGGUCUUCGGAUCGUAAAACUCUGUUAUUAGGGAAGAACAUAUGUGUAAGUAACUGUGCACAUCUUGACGGUACCUAAUCAGAAAGCCACGGCUAACUACGUG
This 497-nucleotide ribosomal RNA is filed under the name uncultured bacterium. Its description in RNAcentral is "partial 16S ribosomal RNA". It matches the Rfam family "Bacterial small subunit ribosomal RNA", at positions 28 to 507 of the family's 1533-position model. The record is from RNAcentral.